Molecule: ribosomal RNA, 253 nt
Filed under: uncultured bacterium
Lineage: Bacteria
Description: partial 16S ribosomal RNA
Rfam family: Bacterial small subunit ribosomal RNA
Source: RNAcentral
UACAGAGGUCUCAACCGUUGUUCGGAUUCAUUGGGCGUAAAGGGUGCGUAGGCGGUCGUGCAAGUCGGAUGUGAAAUCUCAGGGCUCAACCCUGAAACUGCAUUCGAUACUGCGCGGCUAGAGUGCUGGAGGGGAGACUGGAAUUUACGGUGUAGCAGUGAAAUGCGUAGAUAUCGUAAGGAAGACCAGUGGCGAAGGCGAAUCUCUGGACAGUUACUGACACUGAGGCACGAAGGCCAGGGGAGCAAACAGG